Molecule: unclassified non-coding RNA, 282 nt
Filed under: plant metagenome
Description: partial contains small subunit ribosomal RNA, internal transcribed spacer 1, and 5.8S ribosomal RNA
Rfam family: 5.8S ribosomal RNA (bases 235-282)
Source: RNAcentral
UCUCCGUAGGUGAACCUGCGGAAGGAUCAUUAUUGUAUAACCGAGGUGCGAGGGCUGUCGCUGACCCGAAAGGUCGUGCACGCCCGAGUGCCCUCACACACAUCCAUCUCACCCCUAUGUGCACCACCGCGUGGGUCCCCCUUUGGCUUGUUCGGAGGGGGGCUUACGCUUUCACACAAACUUUGUAUGCAGUGUAGAAUGUAUUUUUUGUUUUUGCGAUCACGCAAUCAAUACAACUUUCAACAACGGAUCUCUUGGCUCUCGCAUCGAUGAAGAACGCAC